GAUGAACGCUGGCGGCGUGCCUAAUACAUGCAAGUCGAGCGAACAGACGAGGAGCUUGCUCCUCUGACGUUAGCGGCGGACGGGUGAGUAACACGUGGAUAACCUACCUAUAAGACUGGGAUAACUUCGGGAAACCGGAGCUAAUACCGGAUAAUAUAUUGAACCGCAUGGUUCAAUGGUGAAAGACGGUUUUGCUGUCACUUAUAGAUGGAUCCGCGCCGCAUUAGCUAGUUGGUAAGGUAACGGCUUACCAAGGCAACGAUGCGUAGCCGACCUGAGAGGGGGAUCGGCCACCCGGGAACUGAGACACGGUCCAGGCUCCUACGGGAGGCAGCAGUAGGGAAUCGUCCGCAAUGGGCGAAAGCCUGACGGAGCAACGCCGCGUGAGUGAUGAAGGUCUUCGGAUCGUAAAACUCUGUUAUUAGGGAAGAACAAAUGUGUAAGUAACUAUGCACGUCUUGACGGUACCUAAUCAGAAAGCCACGGCUAACUACGUG
RNAcentral lists this ribosomal RNA (497 nucleotides) under uncultured bacterium. RNAcentral describes it as "partial 16S ribosomal RNA". It matches the Rfam family "Bacterial small subunit ribosomal RNA", at positions 28 to 507 of the family's 1533-position model. The record is from RNAcentral.